This 4963-nucleotide long non-coding RNA is filed under the name Homo sapiens (human). Its description in RNAcentral is "HSALNT0019382". The record is from RNAcentral. Lineage: Eukaryota; Metazoa; Chordata; Mammalia; Primates; Hominidae.
CAGGAAGGAAGACGAUGUUCUUGCACUAUUGUGAAUGAGGGGAGUGUUGUGCAGAGUGAGGUUGAAUAGGGCACAAACCUAUGGUUAGAAACUUGGUUUUAUUCUGAGAGAAAUAGGAUAACAUUGAAGGAUUUUAAGCAAGGGAUAAUGCAAUCUAACUUAUCUUUUUAAAUAUCUUACUAUUUUAUGGGGAAUGAGUAAUUGGUGUUGUGGGAGUGAUACGAAACAGAAAACCAAUUCAGAGACUGUGGAAGGAGUCCUGGAAAGAAACAGUGCCUGGAAUAUGGUGGCUGUACAGAUGGAGAGCAGUGAAGUGACUUGAGAUGCGUUUUGGAUCUGUAGGACUUGUUGAUGGCUUGGAAAGAAUGGGGAAAGAAAGAGUCAUUGAUUUUGGCUUGAAUAAUUCAGUGGACUGUGGUUCUGUUUCCUGAGUUGGGAAGGACUUUUUUGUCUUAUGAGAUGCCUAUUACACAUUCAAGAGGAGUUUGCAAGUAGGUGGUGGUGAAGUCUGGACUUUGAUCUAGUCCCAAGACAAAGAAUAUCUCUUGAUACUAUUAAAUAUAGAUGUCUGGACUGAAUUGAGCUUACACGACAAUUGCAGUCAAGAUUCUGCAACUCAGAACGGGCAAACCAGUCUGAAUCAAUUUACCCUGUGAUCCUGUCUGCUGGGAAGCAUUGAAAUAGUAAGGAAGUCUGAUGUGCCUGCAGGUUAAUCCAGCUGUCUGGGUCACCUAAGCAUCAAGGGUGGAAAGGGAGACUGGAAGUGCAAGUCUGAAAGGAGAAAAAAGAAGGUGAAACCAGUCUGCAGGAGAAAUGACUGGGAAUUUAGAAGGAGUGGGCACCCACAAGAGAAGAGAAGACACGAAGUGAGAAAAGGCUGCUGCUUGCCAAGGCACUUUUAAGAACGGGACAUCUUAUCACUUUUCAGUUGUUUGAGCUUCUUGCUCCCCAGACUUUCAGCUAAAAUUGUGGCUGUUUUGUUGGCGGAAAUCAGUGAAAAGAAAAUGAGUUCUGUGUCUAGUUCAGUUUACAGCAGAGGCAAGACGAUGCCUGAAGCAGGUGGCAAGGAGUGAAAGGGGAGUGUGCAUGGAAGCAGCAGGUCAGAGCCAGAGUUUAUCAUGAAAGUCUGAGCCCUCGCAAACAUGGUUCAUGCACAACCCAUAAAAUUUCAUCAAACUCUCAGUCUCAAAAAUUUGUGUAGGAAGAGCCUGACAUGAAUGCUGCAAAUACAUGAUUAUUAUUCCUAGACAUAUCUAAGGGCAUCUAAAAUUAUAAAAUUUAUAGUGAUAUUGCUUAAAUUACAUUUUUGAAUAUCUCACUCAUACAUGUAUUACCUAUAUUAUUAUACUGUUAAUUAUACCUUCAUUGAUUUUUUUUAAAUUUUAUUCUUUUGUUUUAAGUUUAGAUGUGGAUGCAUUUUCUAAAAACUACAAGAUUACCCAAACAGAACCGAUUGAAUUUCAAGGUUAGGAAGUUUUUCUAAUAAUAAUUUAUGGUCCAAGUAUAAUGUGAUGAAGUGUGCUUGUAGGUACCAACCUGAGACUAUAUUUGGCAAGAGUUGAAUAAAAUAUGGGGGAAAUGAUUUCUAGCCUUGUUAGAAAUGCCCUCAGAAUGCAUUGUUAUUUCUAAAGAAUGCUGCAUUGUAUAUAUGCAGAUAUUUUUCAGCCAAAUCGCUGAAUUUGUAGAGAUUUCAUAUCACAUAAGAUUUGUUUCCAAUGCAUUUUCUUCUGAAACUAUAAGAAGACUAGCUUCUCUCUUAAUUUCUAAGAAAAAUGUUAUAAACCUUUAUUAUGAUGGUACAAUUUAUGAAACAAUGUAAAUUUUACAUUUUCACUUUUGAGAGUUAUUUUUCCCCAAGCCUCUGCCUUUUUUGAGUAUUUGCAAAGCUCUGCAAAUGACAGGCGCAUCCACAAUGCAAAGAAUAAUCUUCCUUUGGGGCUGUUCCUGGGGUAGUGAUUAGUAGCGUCUUCACUGAAUAUUUAACUUCCUCAAAACUGCUUAUCUGUGCUGUGGAUCAGUGCAAGAUCUGGGUGAGCUGUUGCUACUUUACAUAAUUAAGUUUCUCUUGCCAAAAAAAGAGAAAGUAACAAAAUAUGAAGCAAAAGAAGCCGAAAGUUGGACUUUUAAAACAUUCUCCCUUCAUGUUAUUUUCUCAUUGAAAAUAACCUGAAACAAAAGCAAAAUAUUUGAGAUUUAGGAGGGAGUUUAUGCAGAUCAGUCAGGUUGACAGCUCACAUUUUCUUGCAAAACUCUUAGGAAUUUUCCUCCGCAAAUCCCUCCGCAGUCAGUGAUAAGUACUAAAUGCCACAAAGAAAACAAUUUCCCAUUGUUCAAAAACUGACUGGUGAAGUAUUGUGGGUGAGGCAAAAAAGAGGGUAGGGAGAGAAAUUCUAUUGUAGGGAAACUAAUGCCAGACAGAGCUAUUAACUCAAAUGUACUGAAAUGAUAGAUAAUUCAAGCUUCUCAUGUCACUUUAAAUUAGUAAAAAAUCACUGCACAGGAUUUGUGCUUAAUCCCAUUUUUUAUAUGUAGAAAAUAGGCCCCAGAAUUAGGUUGACGUGUACUUUUAAUGUGUAGAUAGGACAUCUACUCACUUUCUAGGCAUGUGUGGAUGAAAAAGACUUUGCUUGCUUAGUUGCACGUCAUUCUUAGUUCCUUCUCUUUUGAGUGUGCUAGCGUACCCAAUGGAAUCCCCUCCCCUGUAUUUAUUGAACGCUAUAAUGUAUGGGGGUGUCUUUUCCUGGUUAGUGUAAUAGGAAAAAUUGCAUUUGCUUAUCUAUUGCAAAUGAAAAUCAUCUGGGGAAUAUAAAAAGCAUUUUCAAUUCUGCUACCAUUAUUUCAGAAGCAAUCAAAUGCAGAGGAAUGAAAGUCAAACACGGAGAAAAAUGCUGAUGGAUUGGGCAAUGUGCAUGGCUCUCUGGGACCAUCAUUAUUUCAGUAUUCAAGAGGAAAAUGCACAUUUGAAAGAUGGUAAAUUCCAUCACAUACAAUCAAUCAUUCAUCUCCUCUAGCAACAAUAAUUGUGGAGGAGAUAGUGUUCAGACAUUAACUAGGUAGUCAUCCCUGCUUGUUUGUUAGUUUGUUUCAAGGCAUACUAAAUCUUAUGCAACGUUAUGUGGACAUCUCAGAUGAUUUUCAGAUAUUGGUACUUAGUACCAAUCACCUGCAAAUAAUGAGGUCAAAGUAAACACUGCAACCUCAAAGGGCAAGAUGCUUAGCAUUGUCUUUCAUCUAAAACAUUUUGUCCUUUCAUUCCAGAUUUUAAAAAUAGGUUAUCUGCCUGCAUUUUAUGCAUUUUUCUAUCUUUAUAAUCUGAAGGUGAUUUUAUUAAUACAGUAAAUCUUGGUCAAGUGAUACUUUAGGAAGAUGCUUUUUCUGGGUAAACUAAAAGCCUGACGUGGCUCUUCCUGAUGUUCUUAAAUAUUUUAUUAGCAAUGUCUCUCCUCACCCCUUGCCUAUUCAUAGUCUCUUUCAGUUUAAUGAUAUAAAGCAGGUGGUAGGGUUGUCAAAACUGGGUUUCCAUUAGAAACAAUCUCUGGGAAUGUGGUGUAUUUUCUCCCUUAUUUUUCUCAUUAUUAGAUAUCUCAGGCUCAAAGGCCCAUAUGGCAGUUUGGAGAAAGAUAUGUCCUGUUCAAAACCAAUGUUCUGAGAGUUUGAGAGCCGUGAAAUCAGAUAUCAUAGUUUUUACACUUUUUCAAAGCUUUCAAUUGUGAAUUCUGGAUUUCUCUUUUUCUUUCGAACUCUGAAAAAAGCCCAAUCUCUAACAGCACCUCCCCUCCCACCCCCUUCUGGUACUGGCUGUAGCAGUACUUAGGAAGGGAAGAGUGUCUUACAGGAGGUGGAGACACAUUUAUACACCAGUCUUCAUGCUUGGGAAAAAGCGAUUUAGUCACUGUUAACUUCUUUAAUUAUUGAUGGUUCAGAAAAUGUUAUCUUUCUUAUCUUUUAUUUGUAACACUUUUCCCUAAAUAAAAGUGAGGCUGGAUAUUCAAAUUAUUAUUUAGUGCAAGAAACUAAAAAUAGCUUUCCCUCUUUUUAGAUUUUUUUUGACAACAGAGAUGAUACAUUAUAUGUGUAUAUUUUACCUUAAUAAAAAGACUUAAAAAAAAAGAAAAUUAAAGAGAAAAAUAGAAAGAAAGGUAGGAAAGGCAUAGAAGGGGAUAUGACACUUUAGAAUCUCCUAGCUUAGAAUGUGACAGAAGGAGAGUGUUAGUAAAACUGAGGAGGCUGGGUGCGGUAGCUCACGCCUGUAAUCCUAGCAAUUUGGGAGGACGAGGUGGGCUGAUCACUUGAGGUGAGGAGUUUAAGACCAGCCUGGCUAACAUGGUGAAACCCCAUCUCUACUAAAAAUACAAAAAAUUAGCUGGGCAUGGUGGCAGGCCCCUGUAAUCCCAGCUACUCGGGAGGCUGAGACAAGAGAAUCACUGGAAUCCGGGAGGUGGAGGUUGCAGUGAGCUGAGAUCGACCCAUUGCAUUCCAGCCUGGGCAACAAGAGUGAAACUCCAUCUCAGAAAAAAAAAAAAAAAAAAAAAAAAAAAAGAGGGCCAUUCCCUGCUUUAUUUGACAUAAUCUAAAAGCUCCUAUCAUUUCCUCCUUUUAAAACCUUUUAUUGAAAUACAAUAUACACACAGAAAUGGGCACAUAUCAUAAGUACAUAGCUGGAUGCAUUUUCACAAGCUCACACACCAGGUAAUCAAUACCCCAGACCAAAACAAACAAACAAACAAACAAACAAACAAGAAGCAGGCCUAACAGCAUCCAGAAGCCCUCCUCGUGUUUCCUUCCAGUUACUACCCCUCUCUCCCAAGGGUGACUGCUAUCCCAACUUCCAGCAGCAUAGCCUGUUUUUUGUCAUUUGGCAUAUAUAAAUGAAAAAUAUUAUAUAUACUAUAUAUAUAGUAUAUAUGUAUAAAUAAAUAGUUUAUAUAUGUCUAGAUAUCUCAUAGUGUAUAUACUGUAUAUA